Molecule: non-coding RNA, 2808 nt
Organism: Cricetulus griseus (Chinese hamster)
Lineage: Eukaryota; Metazoa; Chordata; Mammalia; Rodentia; Cricetidae
Source: RefSeq, a predicted model, not a curated record
AGGCAGGUGAGUCUCUGAGUUCGAGACCAGCCUGGUCUACAAGAGCUAGUUCCAGGACAGCCUCCAAAGUCACAGAGAAACCCUGUCUCCAACCCUUCUCCUGCCUCCCCAACAACAACACCUGGGAUGCUAUGGGAACAGUCACCACCAGAGUUCCUCCAUCUUCCUAAGGAGUGGGAGCAGAGAACUCUAGUGGCAUGCCUGGUUGUCCCUACACCUUAGCAGAGGCAGUAAGAAUAUGGUCUCCACUCCCAGAAUUUAUUUUAAUGUGUGUGCAUGUGUAUAUGCAGUGGCUGAAGACCGAUAGUAAUGCCUUCUUCCAUUGCUCUCCACCAUAUUCAGCAAAACAGGGUUUCUCAUUGGAACCCAGAGUUCACCAACUCAGCUGAUCAAGCUAGCCACUUGCUCUGAGGAUCCCAUUUCCACCUCCCCAGUAUUGGGAUUAUAGAAGACUGCAAUGCCUACUCUGGACCUCAAGCUCGUGAGGCAAUCACUUUACCCACUGACCUAUCUUCCCCAGCCACCUAAAAUUAAUUCAUGAAUGAGUGUUAACUGCUGCUACCAUGUCUUAGUCUUGAAUCUGGGCCACAUCUAUAAUCUCAGUACUCGGAGGUGACUGCCAGCCUAGGCUACGUGGCAAGGUCCUGUCUCAAAAAAAUUAUGGUUUAAACAAACAAAUCUCUACUGCUAAUACAAGAAUAUUCAAAUUUCUUAGCUUGGGUGUGGUAGAACACGCCUGUAAUCUCAGAGUGAAGAACUCCAGAGCCUGAAACUCCAAGUCCAAGGUCUGGUCUACAUGAAGAAAAGCAGUGCUAAGUCUGGCUGGGCCUUCACAGCCCCUGGAGGAAGGUGAAGCAAAAAAGGCAACUACCUGGAUACUUUGAAGGAAGACUCCACACAUUUCUAUAAUCAGAAACUUAGUUUAUUUUGAAUAAACCACUCAACUUGGAGCAGAUGACAUCGCCUCAACUUUUCUUUGAAGAAAAACAAGGAUUCUGGUCAGUUCAUGAAAACACAUCUUACUCUACCCCUUGCAGGGCAAAACACCAAACCAAACCAAACAAACAAAACAAAACAAAAAAACCCAAAAAACAAAGAAACCACCUCUGCCUGACCUUUAAGAUGUUCCUGAUAAUGUUAACAAAGGAUGGCCUCCACAGGUGAAGCACGGCCAGCUCUGGCUGCCAGAGCCUCCUGCAGUGCCAAUGGUCAGGAUCACAGCCCAUGUAUAGGAGCAUGGCAGCUGUGCAGUUCAGAUAGUACCCAAGGGGGUUUAGGCUGCAGAGCUGCAACUCUGGUUCUGUGCGUGUCAUGGCCGCUGAAAGGACUUGAUGGAGAAGUCUGUGCACCAACACAGAAUUCACAUGCCACCCCUGGGCCUGCAGCAGGAAUGAAUACUCCUUGUUUACAAUGAGCUCCCACUUUUAUCUUGGGUUCAAUUACUGUAUACCAAAUUACUUCUCCCAAUCCACCCCACCAUCUCUCAUUUGUCGGGGACAACAUGAAGAGACAAAACCUGAGAGGUGAAAGAAUGUGCAGCUGGCCAACUACCCCAGCAGUCACAGCUGUCACCUGUCUUAAAGAACAACUCAAUUUUACAGCUUUACAUGGUACCUAGGUAAUUGCUGACUGGAGGUGAAAUGUAUGAAUAUCAAAGAGUCUGCAUCAUAAUAUUCACAGAUUUUUCUCUAUGGGCUCUCCCAGGAGUCCAAGGAGGCCCUGUCAAGUAUUGACAGCUCUGCCAGUCUCAGAGGGGAGGCACUGAACAAAGCCACAGAAACCCCAGAGAUCACAGAUCUAACUUUUCAAAGGCCCACAGGACCAGGUUCAAGACAGGAAGGACAGCAGGCAAGCUGCUUGACUGUACAAGAGCUGGUCCUUUCCUCUGGCCAGCCCCUUCUUGUAUAGGAACUGCCACCCCAAACCAGGAUUCUCCUGGGUUUAGACUCCCAGACCUUAGAGAUGGGGUUCUCUGACUGCUGCAACUAGGCAAAGGGGACACACCCCACCCCAGAGCCAGCUUCUGACCGCACUCCAGGUUAACAUAAUAGCUUGUGCAAACCUAGCUGUUGAGCCACAAGGCCCGUGCCCUUAGAAGGGCCAUGCUGAACUCUGACCUUGAUGUUCACAAGAUGCAGUAAGACAGUGUCAAACAUGGCCACAUGUGACACUGGUCAGAGUACACCACUUAAAUACCGGAUCAAAAGAAACGACCAAAGAAAAGGAAACUUAUUUGGGGGAACAAUUCCUUUCAAAUGUGGAUCUCUCAUCUUUACAGGACAAAAGGAAGCACCAGUCUCCCAGUCCGGAGGUUCGAAUGCCAACCUCUGCACUGCCGUGGGUUCUGGAUUGGUGGCCCAACUCACUAAGUCUCACAUUCAAUAAAAGCAAGCCCAUAGUGAAACCCUGCUAUGCUCCGUGCCCUUGCUGCUCAGCUACGGCAGAAGGUACUUGACUCUCUGUGCUCCAUGCCUGUUAUGCAGGCCAACUCAGUUCCUUACCAUCUGCCACACAUACUCUUCCCUUGGGACUCCAGGUAACGUCAAAGAGGAUGCUGGAAAGCAGGGACCACCCCAGGAACCCCGGCAGCACAGACAUUCUGAGGCUCGGUGGGUGGGCAGCAUCAAGUUACAUUCUAAGUAAAGUAGCUAGAGGGUAAACACUCCAAUGCCAAUUUAUUUUCAAAAGGGCUCUGUGUUAUCCUAUGGUUUGCCUUUCUUUCAAAUCGUACAACCUUUGAAAAUUACAUAAGUUGUAAUGAUCUAAUACUAUUAAUAGCCAUUCAGGAAAAAAAAAAGUUCCCUCCCU